RNAcentral lists this ribosomal RNA (494 nucleotides) under uncultured bacterium. RNAcentral's name for it is "partial 16S ribosomal RNA". It matches the Rfam family "Bacterial small subunit ribosomal RNA", at positions 28 to 507 of the family's 1533-position model. The record is from RNAcentral.
GACGAACGCUGGCGGCGUGCUUAACACAUGCAAGUCGAACGGAAAGGCCUGCUUUCCCUUGUGGAUUGCGGGUACUCGAGUGGCGAACGGGUGAGUAACACGUGAGUGAUCUGCCCCCAACUUGGGUAUAAGCCUGGGAAACUGGGUCUAAUUCCCGAUAGGACUGCAGGGUGGUGCCUGUGGUGGCAAACGAUUUUCUAGUGGUUGGGGAUGAGCUCGCGGCCUAUCAGCUUGUUGGUGGGGUAAUGGCCUACCAAGGCGGCGACGGGUAGCCGGCCUGAGAGGGUGGACGGCCACAUUGGGACUGGGAUACGGCCCAGACGCCUACGGGAGGCAGCAGUGGGGAAUAUUGCACAAUGGGCGGGAGCCUGAUGCAGCGACGCCGCGUGGGGGAUGACGGCCUUCGAGUUGUAAACUCCUUUCGACCGCGAGGAAGCCACCUGGUUGGAAGGGUGGUGACGGUAGUGGUAGAAGAAGCACCGGCUAACUACGUG